CAAAUGUAUAGCUGGUGAUAAGACAAGAUGGCAAUAGCACAGGACUGCCCUGGUGGAGACUCUGUGACAACCACCUGGAUAGUUUGAGAACUGCUGCUUUUGCUGCUUGAAGUCCAGACUAAGGAAGGAUGCAAGCCCCCAAAGAACUAGAUGAGAGUCUAUGAAUCAAAAACAUGGAGCUGGGAGGAAUCUCACAUGUUGGUACCAGGAGAGACCCAAUCAUAAGAACAUAGAUUUGGAGCAGGAAGAAACUUUGGAGAUCAUUAACUCCAACUCUCCUCAUUUUGUAGAAGAUAGGAGUUAAGUGACUUGCCCUGGGCCACACAGGCAACUCAUCCAAGUCCAGUGGCAAGACAAAAGUCCAAGACAACUGGUGAUGACCAGGAUUCAGUGGAUGACCUUUCUUUGAUGUCUGACUAAACUCUUAGCUUUUCACAGUACCUACUUCAGCCCCCUUCCUGGUCACUGGAAUGAAUUGUUCUCUUUCCCCUUCUGAUGGGGGAGUGUCUUCACAUGCCUGGGGUAGACACCCCCUAACUCACCAAUGGGUUAGAAGAUUGCUGGUUAUUUUCAACCUGGUUUAACCCAUCUGCCAAGACAGUUUUACCAGAGCAUGGUCACUGUGCAUGCUACAGCAUCUUGGAGCCAUAAGUAAGAGCUGAGUGGACACCAAAGGUGGUUGAGCAACCCUGUAAAGGCCCAGAAAGUCCUCGCACUAGAGGUGUUAGUCUUCUCUGAAUACCCUGUACAUCCCAGAAAAGAGUGUAUAGAUUGUCCAAUUGAUCUUCUCUGCUGAAUCAGGCACUUUUCUCCUCAAGGCUGGCUCUAAACAGUUGCUGUGAACUCCAAUUGCUGGGCUUCUGGUGGCUCUUCCAGUUUUCCAAAGCUUUUCACCUAAAAAGCAGAAAAGAGUAAAUACAAUAAAAAGAAGUCAUGUUGGUACUGUGUAUUCA
Molecule: long non-coding RNA, 953 nt
Filed under: Monodelphis domestica (gray short-tailed opossum)
Lineage: Eukaryota; Metazoa; Chordata; Mammalia; Didelphimorphia; Didelphidae
Description: lncRNA (ENSMODG00000047346.1)
Source: RNAcentral